UUGGUGAAGAGCCUGGAGGCAGGAUCUGCUGUUUUAGAAAAUAUUUAAUGAUAUGCAGUUCUGACCUCAAAAACACUGCAGACUAAACUUCAUGAAGGCAGUGUACAUUCUUUUUCUCCAUUCAACAGGUUAGAAUUUAUGCUUGAUGAUGUAGCAGUUUUUACGGAGGGAAAAGUUUUGAGUAAUUGCAAAGCACAAGGAAAACAGUUCUCAAGGAAGGCUUCCGACCAGAUUCAGAUAAUUCUUCAGUCAGCCAUGGUAUUUAGAUCAUAGAAAUUUGGAGUUCAGCUAGGAGGAAAGUCUUGGAGGCCAUGGUUGUUCAUGUUGACAAUCUCACUUCAUGAAAGUGGUCAUAUUGUCAACUUCUGUAUAUUGGUGAGUUUCUUAUUUAGUGGGUCUUGUAAAAUAUACCUUUAUUUUACAGUAGAGAUGGUCUUCCCAACUGUAUAGAUCAAACUGAACUUAUCUAAAGCUCAAGUUAUAUAUA
Long non-coding RNA from Telopea speciosissima, 487 nucleotides. RefSeq lists it as uncharacterized. The record is from RefSeq and is a predicted model, not a curated record. The transcript has 2 exons. NCBI's taxonomy places the organism in Eukaryota, Viridiplantae, Streptophyta, Magnoliopsida, Proteales, Proteaceae.